AAGGGAGACCUAAUUCAGGUAUGGGACGAAAAAAAAGUAGUCGCUACCAAGAAUCAAUCCCAAAAGGUCGGAGCGAGGUAUGAGGCUUUCAAACUAGGUUCUGGGUUCAAACAAGACCUGAAUCAGGAGCAAGGGCUAUUAGCUCAGGUGGUUAGAGCGCACCCCUGAUAAGGGUGAGGUCCCUGGUUCGAGUCCAGGAUGGCCCACCUGCACAGGUGGCAAAAACAAGAGAAGCGAGGAAUCAGCACCUUAUCUUAUCUAUAUAUAAGAGAGAAUGCUGGCUCUGAGUAAAGAGUCCAGAGGAACCUUGAAAACUGCAUAGAGCUAGGUGAAAAAGCCAAAAAAGAAGACCGCAA
This 356-nucleotide transfer RNA is filed under the name uncultured Microcystis sp. Its description in RNAcentral is "partial 16S-23S ribosomal RNA intergenic spacer". The stretch from base 133 to 206 matches the Rfam family "tRNA". Lineage: Bacteria; Bacillati; Cyanobacteriota; Cyanophyceae; Chroococcales; Microcystaceae. The record is from RNAcentral.